RNAcentral lists this ribosomal RNA (253 nucleotides) under uncultured bacterium. RNAcentral's name for it is "partial 16S ribosomal RNA". It matches the Rfam family "Bacterial small subunit ribosomal RNA", at positions 524 to 776 of the family's 1533-position model. The record is from RNAcentral.
GACGUAGGAUGCAAGCGUUGUCCGGAUUUAUUGGGCGUAAAGAGUUCGUAGGUGGUUUGUUAAGUCUGAUGUUAAAGACCGGGGCUCAACCUCGGAAGUGCAUUGGAUACUGGCAGACUCGAGUAUGGUAGAGGCGAGUGGAAUUCCCAGUGUAGCGGUGAAAUGCGUAGAUAUUGGGAGGAACACCAGUGGCGAAGGCGGCUCACUGGACCGGAACUGACGCUGAGGCGCGAAAGCGUGGGGAGCAAACAGG